GAGAGUAAAGCAACCUGGGUUUUAAGUGCCCUGACACAUUCUUGUUAUGACUAGAAAUGUUUUGAUGAUAAGAGAUGAGUAGUUUUGCUGAAAUUAGGAGAACUGGUGAUCCACUAGAAGUCACUAUAGGUUAAGUGCUUUGUUUGAAGUUAGCUAUAAAAGAUUAGGUGAAGGAAUAUGCUCUGGAGCAGUCCAAGGAAGCUUUCUGUGGGCAAGGAUCUGACAGCUAAAUUCCCCAGCAGCUAGCCAGAAUGCAGGGUCCCAUGGAAGGCUGACCACUGAUCCCUCGGAACCAUUUCUUAACUCUGGUUCCCUUGGGAAAGAAGAAACAAAAGGACCUUGUGAGAGGAUUAAAAAAAGAUGUAUAUCAAAGAGACAAAUUGACUCAUAAAUGGUGGUAGAACACACUGUAAACUCUUGGGUAGAGCUGUUGAAAAUAAGAAGAAAGCCUUAUCUAACUAAUGAGACAAGGUAGGUGAGGUAAUAUCUUUCAUUUGACCAAAGUUACUACCUUUCCCAGACCGGAAGACGAGGUCUGUGUAAGCUCAAAAGCUUGUCUCUUUCACCAACAGAAUUUGGUCCACACUAAGAUCCACAUGUAUCCACUUUGGAGUGGAUCUUUGGAUUACAUAUGGAUGUAGUGAACAACACUAGCCUGCCCCUAACUUGUGCAGAACACCACCUGAGAAAAGCAGCGGCCAGAAUUCUUUCUAUGUCUCUAGGCAACAGCAAAGUCAUUCUAUCAUGUCAGGUCCUGAAAGCUCAUGGAUCCCACCAAAUUCCAAAGUGUACUCCAUAAUGAUGACAGAUUACCAACAAAACAAGAUGCUGCAGAGCCAGUGAGUCACUGUGACCACACACUUGCCAUCACCUCAACACAAUGGUUAUGGAAUGGCCCUUUUCUCUACAUAUCACACACACAUCUGGACGGCUCUUGGAUGACUUGAGGCAGAUGAAGAGAAGAGGGUGGUAAAUGUAGAGUCAAUGACAGAAACCUUGGGCUGAGACAGAUUUAAAUGCCAAGAAUUAUGACAAGUCUAUGCUGAGGCUAUGUUUCAGGCUAAGAGAACAUUUUUCUUCUCCUCCGUAGCAAAAAUUCUUUGCAAAGAGCUAUUAUAGUUGCUUAACCACCUCUUCAAUCCAGCCUGCAGUCUGUAAAAUAAUACAGCACCACUCAGUGCAAAGAGCUAUUGUUUCACUUACAGAACAGGAUAUCAUCUAAUCAAAUACACUCUAAGUAUCAUCAGCAAAUUCAAAGAGGAAACAGCUCGCUGUGGGAGUGUUACAGAGAGCUCAAACCCAUGCAGCAAAGUGUUAUUUUCAUAGACUCAUGGAAAUGUAGGGCUGGAAGGGACAUCAAGAGGUCAUCUUGUUCAGCCCGCUAUGCUGUUCAUCACAGCUGGCCCUCAGCAUGGAAUUCAUUCCUGGCAGAAUGAAGAAAGCUCACAAAUCUUACCACACUUUCAGAUCCAAAUGCAAAACACUGCUUUAGUUGUGCUUUCCAUAAAACAACGUAUAUAUUUACAGGUACAAUACAAAAACUAAACAACCAAUGAUGUAACUUACUCCCAUCGUUAACUUUGAUAAUCUAAGUCUGGUUUUAAGCUCUGGAAGGAGGUCUGAUACCACCAGGAUUGGUAAAAUAUAAGAAUCAAAAGAGAAUUAAGGAAUCAAAAUUUCUUUUUUCUGGGGGUGUUGAAUUUGCAAUGAUGUGAUGUUAUACAUAUUUAUCCUCAAUUACUAGCCCACUGGGUUAAAUCUAUACAAAUGCUUCUUGAACCACACACCAUUAGUUACUCUGACAGUUAAUACCACUUAUGCAGUGUUUUAGAUAAUCAAAGUGUUAUGCAUUAAAUAAUUAUUCCUCAUUGUUCCUUCCUUCUAUGACAUUUCCAUAUGAGAGUCUCGGUGCUUUCAGACUUUAACAUAAGGCAGCUCACAAUUCCUGGGUGAGGUAAGUGAGUAUUAUCCCUACAUAUUGAUGGAAAACUUAGGCACAGAGUUAGAUCGAUUUUCCUAACACCAUGUACCAAGUCAGUGGCAGAGCAUGAAUUAGAACUUAAGUGUAACUCACCUCCACCUCAACUCUCUGUCCUUUUCUAUGGGGGCAGAUCUUUGCAAGUAGUAUUACCACUUGUCUCUUUCAAUAAAUUAUGUGCAAUCAGUAGAGCAUGAGAUUUCUUCAUAAAAACUAUCCAGUGUUUUGCAAAUAUCUGAAUUCCAUGGGAGAACCUGUCCAUAUAAAUAUAAAGAGCACUUUGGGGUUCAGAAGGAUCUAUACCUGUUCAGAGUUUUAUAACAGCACAUCUCAUCAGCAUAACAAAGUAAAAUAUCUCCUUUUGUACCUGGCUUUGUUGACUGAUUGGAGAUUCAGCCAACUGGUACAUGGCCAGCAACUUAAGGAGUUAUGCAGGUUCUAAGAGUAUUUUCUACCCCCAACAUUGUUCAAACUUGUUUUUAUGCUGAUUAAAUUUUAUUUUGUCCUUCAUUAACUCUCCAUACAUAAAAUAAGGUAAGAAUUAUAAACUUUAUUAUUCCUCUUAUGUGAUCACAUAUUAGUUAGCAUUCCUGCAGAUAGAGAGUAGAUAGAUUAAUAUUUAUUUUUAUUUACAUUUUAUUAUUUCUACAUGCAUAAGCAUACACCCUUUGAAAAGCAUGCAGAUAGAUUCCAGUUGACCCAAAGUCAACUGUGAGACUUUCCCAACCCAUACAACCAAAAAAGUGGGAGCCACAUGUGCAGGUGAGGGAAGAAGGUUCCCCUCAGAAAAAGGCUUCAUCAUCGUCACUAGCAAGUACUAUCUGGUCUGUGAUCUCAUUGUUACAUUCCAGGAGAGUUUGUCGGAGUGUAAGACAGGUGCCAUUACACCCAGGGUACUGGCUGAAGAAAAACUAUUCAGAAUGACUUGAGCACUGGAGAGAAAAUAGAUAAGUAUUUUAUUUUCCAAGUGUAGUAAGAAAGAUUUUCUGUGGGAGGGAAGGUUUCUGGGUAAAAAUGUUUCUCUUUUAUGCUCAAGAUGUCUGACAAAAUGGGAAAGAAAAAAAAUAACUUUCAGCAGUAACUUCAGUGCAUUUCUUUUCUCCUCAGGCUCCAGAUCUUGACUUCAUGGAUCUGUCCAGGACACUUAUAUGUCUGUUAUUCCAGCAUGAUUUAUUUUAUGUAUAUUGCUGAGGCACGUGGAAUGAUCCUCAUGACAUCAAAUGCUAGGCAACUUCCCUGGAGGAGCAACAGCGUGGCCUAAGAAUCAAUUAUCUGAAGGUUCAGAGAGAGAGAGAGAGGAAACUGAAUAAGUGCAAUAAGAAAAAGUUCAAGUCUGUUAAGCAGACAUCCCUUUCUCCUGCUUAAAAAGGAAAGCACUUUAUAUGCAAGCAAAUCUUGCUCUAUUGCCUAGAAAUAUGAAACAAGCAAACAAGCAAGCAAAGUGAUAAAAAAGAGAAUAUAUAUGAAAAUGUUCACUUAGUUAAAAGCAGCAUAAAUCAAUCUUAUAAAUACUCACUGAAUAUUAUUAAAACCAGGGCAAAGUCAAAGAAAUCUAAUGAACUGACUAAAAAUACUGGAUUAGUUCAGUCAUUAAAAUUCCAGGCACAAUUGUCACAAUUUACAUAUUAUGUCAGGAGACAGAGAAGACUUUAAAAAAAAAUGCCUAACUUCUAAAUGCAUGAUUGCACUGUUGACUAAUCUUUGUAGGCCUAAUUCAGAAAGAUUUAAGAUUUCACCUGCCUUUCACUGUUGAGUACUGUCAGGCAGGUUUUAAUAUAUUGUAGGAGUCACUGAGGUCAUUUCACUUGCAAGUUUUAUAGACAGACUUAUAUUUUGUUAGUGGAUUUUUAUGUGGAAGCUUUGUACCCUAUUGUAAUUCCAGCUAAUCAUUCCUGUAUGCUUAAUAUAGAUAAGCGGCAUUUAUUAACAGUGGCGUGAUAUAAGCGCCAUAUAAAUAGCACAUAAAGGCCAUCUGAGGUAGUACAGGAAUGCUAGAUUAAUAGUAGUAAUAUCAAAGAUUCUAAUUAAUCACAUUUUCAUUAGACCAUAUGAAUGGAUAUCAUACAAAAGAAACUACAAAAAAUGCAAUCAAAAGUUUCUGCAAGUUUAUGAGAGAUACAGACUGAAUCUAAUACAGGUCAGGACACACUGCUAUGAAAGCUGAUCCUAAUCCUCAAAGUUUUGCCUUUGACUUUAUUCUGAGACGUUCAGGCCCAAGAUUGCCUACGAGUCAAUUUGCUCUUUGGAGGUGCUGUAAAUACAAACUAAUAUUUAUUAAUAUUAACUCAUAGUCAUACACUAUUUUCUAGGGCUGUCAAGCAAUUAAAAAAUAAUGAUGAUUAAUUGCACUGUUAAACAAUAAUAG
This is a long non-coding RNA of Chrysemys picta bellii (western painted turtle), 4343 nucleotides long. RefSeq lists it as uncharacterized. NCBI's taxonomy places the organism in Eukaryota, Metazoa, Chordata, Testudines, Emydidae. The record is from RefSeq and is a predicted model, not a curated record.